GCUGUGAUGGCCGAGUGGUGAAGGCGUUGGACUUGAAAUCCAAUGGGGUUUCCCCGCGCAGGUUCAAAUCCUGCUCACAGCG
Aptenodytes forsteri (emperor penguin) is the source of this 82-nucleotide non-coding RNA. The record is from Rfam. NCBI's taxonomy places the organism in Eukaryota, Metazoa, Chordata, Aves, Sphenisciformes, Spheniscidae.